This 253-nucleotide ribosomal RNA is filed under the name uncultured bacterium. Its description in RNAcentral is "partial 16S ribosomal RNA". It matches the Rfam family "Bacterial small subunit ribosomal RNA", at positions 524 to 776 of the family's 1533-position model. The record is from RNAcentral.
UACGUAGGGACCAAGCGUUGUUCGGAUUUACUGGGCGUAAAGAGCGUGUAGGCGGUUUGGUAGGUCCGCUGUGAAAACUCGAGGCUCAACCUCGAGACGCCGGUGGAAACCAUCAGGCUAGAGUCCGGAAGAGGAGAGUGGAAUUCCCGGUGUAGCGGUGAAAUGCGCAGAUAUCGGGAAGAACACCCGUGGCGAAGGCGGUUCUCUGGGACGGUACUGACGCUGAGACGCGAAAGCGUGGGGAGCGAACAGG